This 450-nucleotide ribosomal RNA is filed under the name uncultured bacterium. RNAcentral describes it as "partial 16S ribosomal RNA". It matches the Rfam family "Bacterial small subunit ribosomal RNA", at positions 354 to 796 of the family's 1533-position model. The record is from RNAcentral.
GUGGGGAAUUUUGGACAAUGGGCGCAAGCCUGAUCCAGCCAUGCCGCGUGAGUGAAGAAGGCCUUCGGGUUGUAAAGCUCUUUCGGCCGGGAAGAAAUCGGCGACUCUAACAUAGUCGCUGGAUGACGGUACCGGACUAAGAAGCACCGGCUAACUACGUGCCAGCAGCCGCGGUAAUACGUAGGGUGCGAGCGUUAAUCGGAAUUACUGGGCGUAAAGCGUGCGCAGGCGGUUUUGUAAGACAGAUGUGAAAUCCCCGGGCUUAACCUGGGAACUGCGUUUGUGACUGCAAGGCUAGAGUACGGCAGAGGGGGGUGGAAUUCCUGGUGUAGCAGUGAAAUGCGUAGAUAUCAGGAGGAACACCGAUGGCGAAGGCAGCCCCCUGGGCCUAUACUGACGCUCAUGUGCGAAAGCUAGGGCAGCGAACGGGAUUAGAUACCCGUGUAGUCC